UACGAAGGUCCCGAGCGUUGUUCGGAAUUACUGGGCGUAAAGAGUGUGUAGGCGGUGUUCCCAGUCUGUUGUGAAAUCUCCCGGCUUAACUGGGAGGGUGCAGCGGAAACUAGAAUGCUAGAGGGUGGGAGAGGUAAGCGGAAUUCCUGGUGUAGCGGUGAAAUGCGUAGAUAUCAGGAGGAACACCUGUGGUGUAGACAGCUUACUGGACCACUUCUGACGCUGAGACACGAAAGCGUGGGUAGCAAACAGG
This 253-nucleotide ribosomal RNA is filed under the name uncultured bacterium. Its description in RNAcentral is "partial 16S ribosomal RNA". It matches the Rfam family "Bacterial small subunit ribosomal RNA", at positions 524 to 776 of the family's 1533-position model. The record is from RNAcentral.